CCUGCAUGGGAUGUGAGUUAAAUGUUCAAGGUAUCGGAUGGGCAUGCGUCCUAUUAGUUAGUUGGCGGGGUAACAGCCCACCAAGACGAUGAUAGGUAGGGGUUCUGAGAGGAAGGUCCCCCACAUUGGAACUGAGACACGGUCCAAACUCCUACGGGAGGCAGCAGUGAGGAAUAUUGGUCAAUGGACGAGAGUCUGAACCAGCCAAGUCGCGUGAGGGAAGACUGCCCUAUGGGUUGUAAACCUCUUUUAUAAGGGAAGAAUAAGUUCUACGUGUAGAAUGAUGCCUGUACCUUAUGAAUAAGCAUCGGCUAACUCCGUGCCAGCAGCCGCGGUAAUACGGAGGAUGCGAGCGUUAUCCGGAUUUAUUGGGUUUAAAGGGUGCGUAGGCGGUUUAUUAAGUUAGUGGUUAAAUGUUUGAGCUAAACUCAAUUGUGCCAUUAAUACUGGUAACUGGAGUACAGACGAGGUAGGCGGAAUAAGUUAAGUAGCGGUGAAAUGCAUAGAUAUAACUUAGAACUCCGAUAGCGAAGGCAGCUUACCAGACUGUAACUGACGCUGAU
Molecule: ribosomal RNA, 563 nt
Filed under: uncultured Bacteroidales bacterium
Lineage: Bacteria; Pseudomonadati; Bacteroidota; Bacteroidia; Bacteroidales
Description: bacterial SSU rRNA
Rfam family: Bacterial small subunit ribosomal RNA
Source: RNAcentral